This 467-nucleotide ribosomal RNA is filed under the name uncultured bacterium. RNAcentral describes it as "partial 16S ribosomal RNA". It matches the Rfam family "Bacterial small subunit ribosomal RNA", at positions 28 to 506 of the family's 1533-position model. The record is from RNAcentral.
GACGAACGCUGGCGGCGUGCUUAACACAUGCAAGUCGAACGGAAAGGCCCUGCUUUUGUGGGGUGCUCGAGUGGCGAACGGGUGAGUAACACGUGAGUAACCUGCCCUUGACUUUGGGAUAACUUCAGGAAACUGGGGCUAAUACCGGAUAGGAGCUCCUGCUGCAUGGUGGGGGUUGGAAAGUUUCGGCGGUUGGGGAUGGACUCGCGGCUUAUCAGCUUGUUGGUGGGGUAGUGGCUUACCAAGGCUUUGACGGGUAGCCGGCCUGAGAGGGUGACCGGCCACAUUGGGACUGAGAUACGGCCCAGACUCCUACGGGAGGCAGCAGUGGGGAAUAUUGCACAAUGGGCGGAAGCCUGAUGCAGCAACGCCGCGUGCGGGAUGAAGGCCUUCGGGUUGUAAACCGCUUUCGCCUGUGACGAAGCGUGAGUGACGGUAAUGGGGAAAGAAGCACCGGCUAACUACGU